This 452-nucleotide long non-coding RNA is filed under the name Sorghum bicolor (sorghum). RNAcentral describes it as "long non-coding RNA (SBIC_LNC018522)". The record is from RNAcentral. Lineage: Eukaryota; Viridiplantae; Streptophyta; Magnoliopsida; Poales; Poaceae.
CAGGACGGGACGGCUCGAGACCACGCCGGUACGGAGGCCUCGAGUAGGUCAGCGCGCCAGUGAUGUGAACCCACUAGGGUUUUCGCCUGAUCUUUCGAUGAGAGGCGCUGGAUAACUCGAUUAGUGAAUGGAGAUGACGUUCACGGCCUGACUACAGCCUUCUAAGGCCACGCCUUAGCAACCGAUACACCGCCUCCAAUGGCUGUCACGAUCUUGUGGAGCGCAACACCCGGCCACUAGGGCACUCGUCCUGCAAGCAAUCGAAGAACCAGCAAGAACAAGUAGAACAAGUACUAAAUUACUAGAUGUAAAUGAAGGUUUCAAACUUAAUCUCUAAUGAAGUGGGGUUUCGAAAACAAGAAGACGGACGGCUGGAUCAGCACGCGCGUUUACAAGCAAGUAGCGAAGGCUAAACUUUAUCUAAUCAAAACCCAGUUGUUCAUGGCGGCUCU